This 665-nucleotide ribosomal RNA is filed under the name uncultured Flavobacteriales bacterium. RNAcentral describes it as "bacterial SSU rRNA". It matches the Rfam family "Bacterial small subunit ribosomal RNA", at positions 35 to 700 of the family's 1533-position model. The record is from RNAcentral. Lineage: Bacteria; Pseudomonadati; Bacteroidota; Flavobacteriia; Flavobacteriales.
GCUAGCGGCAGGCUUACACAUGCAAGUCGAGGGGUAUAGGAAGCUUGCUUCCUAGAGACCGGCGCACGGGUGCGUAACGCGUAUGCAAUCUGCCUUUCACAAAGGGAUAGCCCAGAGAAAUUUGGAUUAAUACCUUAUAGUAUUAAGUUUUGGCAUCAAGAUUUAAUUAAAGAUUUAUCGGUGAAAGAUGAGCAUGCGUCCCAUUAGUUAGUUGGUAAGGUAACAGCUUACCAAGACUACGAUGGGUAGGGGUCCUGAGAGGGAGAUCCCCCACACUGGUACUGAGACACGGACCAGACUCCUACGGGAGGCAGCAGUGAGGAAUAUUGGACAAUGGGCGCAAGCCUGAUCCAGCCAUGCCGCGUGCAGGAUGAAGCAUCUAUGGUGUGUAAACUGCUUUUAUACAGGAAGAAACCCUGGCUCGUGAGCCAGAUUGACGGUACUGUAAGAAUAAGGACCGGCUAACUCCGUGCCAGCAGCCGCGGUAAUACGGAGGGUCCAAGCGUUAUCCGGAAUCAUUGGGUUUAAAGGGUCCGUAGGCGGGCUUGUAAGUCAGCGGUGAAAUCUCCCGGCUCAACCGGGAAAUGGCCGUUGAUACUGCUAGUCUUGAAUUAGUAGGAAGUAACUAGAAUAUGUAGUGUAGCGGUGAAAUGCUUAGAGAUUAC